Long non-coding RNA from Aquila chrysaetos chrysaetos, 2935 nucleotides. RefSeq lists it as uncharacterized. The record is from RefSeq and is a predicted model, not a curated record. NCBI's taxonomy places the organism in Eukaryota, Metazoa, Chordata, Aves, Accipitriformes, Accipitridae. The transcript has 6 exons.
UGCCAAGGUGUUGCCCUUGCUGCAAAGAGUGACCGUACUAUUCAAAGUGUCCCCCCCCCCAUUUGCCUUUGCUUGCUCUGGUCACUUGAAGUAUACAGUCAAACUCCAGAGGAAGGGCGAGGGUGAAAUUCCAUUUCAUUAUGGAAUGAAGCCAUUAUAAAAUAGUCACCUGGACUGAUUCACUAACAGUGUGAUGCAGGUUCUCAAGUAAUUUGUGGCAUUUUUAAAGGUCGUGGGGUGUUGAGCACCCAAAGCUCAUUGAAUUCCAGUUUGAUUUGGGCACUUGGCUGCCUUGGCUCUUUCAGAAAUCCCAGCUGUAAAUUCCCCAGUCCUGUCUGCAGCCUGCUGCAUCUCCGUGAAGCUGGAAUAACCGCAGUGACCUUACUGAACUUCCCUAACACCAAUGCUGUCAGCGCUACCAUCAGAAAGCCAGUCCGUAAGGGAUGAGAGCUAUUACAGACCCAAAGCCAUCCCUGUUUAUGCUGAGCUAUAUACCUUUGCCUCCCUAGAAGAGUUUCAGUGUUCUUUUAUUUACUGUGGUAUUUUCUUCAGGCGUUUUAUUUCAUACACCACUUUGGGAGACUCUCAAAGGCUUUCUAAGUACAAACCAUUGCUUGGCAGGCCUUUUCCCGAGACUAAACAAAUUUCUCAUUGCUGUACCAGUCGGCUAUAACUAAGCAUGUGUCCUCUUUCAAAAAUGCCUUUGGUUCCUUUCAGAAUCCACAGCUGCGCAAGCCUGGACCUGUCUCUUGGAUGCCUCCAGGACUCUGAAGUGAUGCCAGUGAACCAUGAAGUCAGGAUGCUCCACCCACAGUCCACCCUCCUGCAGAAGUGGGAGUCACCUGGCCAGCCACGAGGUCAGAAGCUGAUCAGCGGUUACUCCAGCGCGGAGCUGAGGAGCUUCCAGGAAACACGAUAACUCCAAAAAAACCCUUGAACAUCACGUUGAGCAUCUCAUGAAGACAGAAGUAGAAACAGUGAACUUCCAAUAAGAGACUGUAGCUUCUGUGAAAUCCAAAGGGCAUUACAGUACAUGUUUGGGUGUUAACAAGACAGACAUAGAACCAGCGCACUUGAAUAAGCUUUUAACGUAAGCCCAAACUCCAGUGAGAAGGCCCAGACACCAGACUUCAUUGAUUCUUCUGAUAAAGGCAAGCUUUUUUCUCCAUAUUUCUGUCAAGACGAAGAUUUUUGCCAGUGCAAUUGACGGCAUUACCAGACAGUAUUAGACAAAAAUAGCUAGAUCUAACUUUGCCUGGUAAGACAGCAAUCAGCAGGCACUCAGACUAAAGGAAACCACCAACAUUAAAGGAAUUUUUCCAGGUCCAGGACUAAAAAGAUAGGGCAGGGAAAGGCUGAGGGCUUCUCCCUUAGACAAAGCAAUAACCAGUCAAUAUUUAACUUGAAAUACUUGCUGAUUAUGAGGCAGUAUAAUUAUGAAAACAACCGUUUCCAGUUCACUGGUACAUGAGUUAAAAAAAAAAUUGUAAAAAACUUAACUUACCAACAGCUCUGUCCUGCAUCCGUCUUGCUGUGAAAUUGCUCACCAUGCCUGUGUCUGGUGCAGCUCUGUCAAUAGUAGCACAGCAAGACUGUGGAUGCACAUGUUUCAGCUGCACUCUGAAGACUGUGCCCUCAUCGAUAUUAAAGCUCCCCUCAGUGAGUUAACUUUUUUAGAAUUAAGUCUGAUGCAGACCAGGCCUCAGACAGCUCUUAAACCAGCCUAAGAAUCAGUACUGCCUGUAGAAUUGCUCUCCUGUGAAACUGAUUUAAGUGAGAUGAAAAUCAGUAGGAGAAGGGGAGGGAGAGAAAGAUAUUAAGGCAGAGGGGAUUUUUCUGGGUUGCCCCUGGCUCUCAUGACUAACUCCCUCUGAGACAAGACUGAACGGACACUUUCCUAAGCAUACAUCAUCAUGGGGGAGGGUAGGGGGGGAUUUCCCUGGUCUCCAUUUCAUUUUUUUUAAGGUGACAUUCCUGUGCCUGGCAUGGAUGCUCAAUUAGUUAUCAUCUCUUUUUUUUUUUUUUUUAUUUACUCAACUCCAUCCAAGGUUAGGACCCAUACUUUGUUUUAAGAGGAGAUGGAUGGGAGGUAGGUGUGUGCUCCAAUUCAUCUUAUUUAAAUGCUUGUUAAAAGCCAAUUUGCAGAGUCACUCAAAUUUCACACCAUUUCCUCAAUCCCUUGUGAACCAGUUACUUAUUAACACUGAGGCUAAUCACCAAAUAACGCUUCUCUGCUUCUUCCUUCUCUCUCUUGUUUUCCUGAGAAUUAUAACCUGCAAGGGCAAACACAAAACUGAGCUUGUUCCAGUGAGUCAACCAGUGGAGUUAAAGCAGGCACAGUCAGCUCCUUUCAAGCUGUUCACAUUGUAAUGGAAACAAGUUUAUGUUAAGUUAUAUACCAAUUGGUUCAUUUUUCCUACUGUUCUUGUAUUACCUAGUAGUUUUGGUAAGAAAUCAUACACCCAGCUUACUGCAAAGUGUUGAAAAAACAUUUAGAGUUUUCCAGUGACAAAGGCGGAGAAUGCAGAAUUUGCUUGUGUACCGCUGUGUUGCUCUACCAGUUCUGUUUUGGAGUGAGGGAUUACCACUACGCUGAGGAUGAGGAAAAUGUUUUGGUGCUGCGAUUCAAACACAAAUUAAUACUUGGAAUCCAUUUAAAGAUCUGGGGUGAGGAGCGUGUGGUCAGAGUGUGUGUGUAACACUGCCUUAUAUUUCCCACAGAAAGGAGCUGAAAACCAAUGGGUACAAUACUGAAGAAUCAGUACAAGGUCUGUGCACUGUCCCACCUCAAGUAGACCAGGUUGUCUGCAAAAUACUGACUUGGAUUAAUCUGUCAAGGACUAUAGGAAGGACCUGCAGGCUGACAUGUCCUGCCUCACCUUCGCAGCAACAUCAAGGUUCAGUAGCACCUAACGGAGUGGUUUCCAGCAACUUU